RNAcentral lists this long non-coding RNA (440 nucleotides) under Homo sapiens (human). Its description in RNAcentral is "HSALNT0373857". Lineage: Eukaryota; Metazoa; Chordata; Mammalia; Primates; Hominidae. The record is from RNAcentral.
AGUUCUUCUAGGGGCAGCAGAGCUUCUUCAACCCCACUGCAAGUUGACUGACACCCUUCAAUACUCUCUUGACCCUACAGAUAAUGCUCAUCAAUUCCUCUAUGCCACAGAACUGUAACACUUAGAAGACUCUGUGGAAUACGAACACUUCUCUGAUUUAUCCUCAUGAAAUUGUUUUCCUGAUGAAAGGAGGAAUAUGAGAAAACUUCAAGCAAUUCAUCUGUAUCGGCAUGGAGAGGAGGAAAAUGAGACUGUAGAUAUACGUUGCUUUGGAUGGCACCAAUAUGGGCCAGGAAGCUUGCUUGAAACAAGAUAAAAAUGUGAUUUGGAUACCAAUGAAGUGACUUUCUGAAUCCUUGCCUUCCUAAAUACAAACUGCAUGACCCUGGCUCUACCUCUUAAAAAUGUAGCAAUUUAUUUUUCUCAGUGGCAGAUUUGAA